This 670-nucleotide ribosomal RNA is filed under the name uncultured Chroococcales cyanobacterium. RNAcentral's name for it is "bacterial SSU rRNA". It matches the Rfam family "Bacterial small subunit ribosomal RNA", at positions 95 to 798 of the family's 1533-position model. Lineage: Bacteria; Bacillati; Cyanobacteriota; Cyanophyceae; Chroococcales. The record is from RNAcentral.
GUGGCGGACGGGUGAGUAACGCGUGAGAAUCUGCCUUCAGGAUGGGGAUAACAACGGGAAACGGUUGCUAAUACCCAAUGUGCCGAGAGGUGAAAAGCAAUGUGCCUGAAGAGGAGCUCGCGUCUGAUUAGCUAGUUGGUAGAGUAAAAGCCUACCAAGGCGACGAUCAGUAGCUGGUCUGAGAGGAUGAGCAGCCACACUGGGACUGAGACACGGCCCAGACUCCUACGGGAGGCAGCAGUGGGGAAUUUUCCGCAAUGGGCGAAAGCCUGACGGAGCAAUACCGCGUGAGGGAGGAAGGUCAAGUAAUUGUAAACCUCUUUUCUCAGGGAAGAAAAAAAUGACGGUACCUGAGGAAAAAGCAUCGGCUAACUCCGUGCCAGCAGCCGCGGUAAUACGGAGGAUGCAAGCGUUAUCCGGAAUUAUUGGGCGUAAAGCGUCCGCAGGUGGUGAAACAAGUCUGCUGUUAAAGACUGGAGCUAAACUCCGGGAGAGCGGUGGAAACUGUAGCACUAGAGACCGGUAGGGGUAGAGGGAAUUCCCAGUGUAGCGGUGAAAUGCGUAGAGAUUGGGAAGAACACCAGUGGCGAAGGCGCUCUACUGGGCCGGAACUGACACUAAGGGACGAAAGCUAGGGUAGCGAAAGGGAUUAGAUACCCCUGUAGUCCUA